This 460-nucleotide ribosomal RNA is filed under the name uncultured bacterium. Its description in RNAcentral is "partial 16S ribosomal RNA". It matches the Rfam family "Bacterial small subunit ribosomal RNA", at positions 338 to 795 of the family's 1533-position model. The record is from RNAcentral.
CCUACGGGAGACAGCAGUGAGGAAUAUUGGUCAAUGGACGAGAGUCUGAACCAGCCAAGUAGCGUGAAGGAUGACUGCCCUAUGGGUUGUAAACUUCUUUUAUAUGGGAAUAAAAUGUUCCACGUGUGGGAUUUUGUAUGUACCAUAUGAAUAAGGAUCGGCUAACUCCGUGCCAGCAGCCGCGGUAAUACGGAGGAUCCGAGCGUUAUCCGGAUUUAUUGGGUUUAAAGGGAGCGUAGGUGGAUUGUUAAGUCAGUUGUGAAAGUUUGCGGCUCAACCGUAAAAUUGCAGUUGAAACUGGCAGUCUUGAGUACAGUAGAGGUGGGCGGAAUUCGUGGUGUAGCGGUGAAAUGCUUAGAUAUCACGAAGAACUCCGAUUGCGAAGGCAGUUCACUGGACUGCAACUGACACUGAGGCUCGAAAGUGUGGGUAUCAAACAGGAUUAGAAACCCUUGUAGUC